This 497-nucleotide ribosomal RNA is filed under the name uncultured bacterium. Its description in RNAcentral is "partial 16S ribosomal RNA". It matches the Rfam family "Bacterial small subunit ribosomal RNA", at positions 28 to 507 of the family's 1533-position model. The record is from RNAcentral.
GAUGAACGCUGGCGGCGUGCCUAAUACAUGCAAGUCGAGCGAACGGACGAGAAGCUUGCUUCUCUGACGUUAGCGGCGGACGGGUGAGUAACACGUGGAUAACCUACCUAUAAGACUGGGAUAACUUCGGGAAACCGUAGCUAAUACCGGAUAAUAUUUUGAACCGCAUGGUUCAAUAGUGAAAGACGGUCUUGCUGUCACUUAUAGAUGGAUCCGCGCUGCAUUAGCUAGUUGGUAAGGUAACGGCUUACCAAGGCAACGAUGCGUAGCCGACCUGAGAGGGUGAUCGGCCACACUGGAACUGGGACACGGUCCAGACUCCUACGGGAGGCAGCAGUAGGGAAUCUUCCGCAAUGGGCGAAAGCCUGACGGAGCAACGCCGCGUGAGUGAUGAAGGUCUUCGGAUCGUAAAACUCUGUUAUUAGGGAAGAACAGAUGUGUAAGUAACUGUGCACAUCUUGACGGUACCUAAUCAGAAAGCCACGGCUAACUACGUG